GAAUAGGCCCAAGCGACUGUUUACCAAAAACAUAGGUUUCUGCUAAGUCGCAAGACGAUGUAUAGGAGCUGACGCCUGCCCGGUGCUGGCAGGUUAAGGGGAUCUGUUAGAGCAAUCGAAGCAGUGAACUUAAGCCCCAGUAAACGGCGGCCGUAACUAUAACGGUCCUAAGGUAGCGAAAUUCCUUGUCGGGUAAGUUCCGACCCGC
This 208-nucleotide ribosomal RNA is filed under the name Clostridioides difficile. RNAcentral describes it as "partial 23S ribosomal RNA". It matches the Rfam family "Bacterial large subunit ribosomal RNA", at positions 1784 to 1991 of the family's 2925-position model. The record is from RNAcentral. Lineage: Bacteria; Bacillati; Bacillota; Clostridia; Peptostreptococcales; Peptostreptococcaceae.